UGAGAUUCUAUGUUCACUGAGCUCUUGGC
This 29-nucleotide non-coding RNA is filed under the name Mus musculus (house mouse). Lineage: Eukaryota; Metazoa; Chordata; Mammalia; Rodentia; Muridae. The record is from RNAcentral.